This 73-nucleotide transfer RNA is filed under the name Cordylochernes scorpioides. RNAcentral's name for it is "tRNA-Lys". It matches the Rfam family "tRNA". Rfam says of the family: Transfer RNA (tRNA) molecules are approximately 80 nucleotides in length. Their secondary structure includes four short double-helical elements and three loops (D, anti-codon, and T loops). Lineage: Eukaryota; Metazoa; Arthropoda; Arachnida; Pseudoscorpiones; Chernetidae. The record is from RNAcentral.
ACCCGGUUAGCUUAAUCGGUAGAGCAUGAGACUCUUAAUCUCAGGAUCAUGGGUUCGUGCCCCACGUUGGGCG